GUGUUAUUCCCAUUCCUGUAUCUUUUCCAACUGUGAUUAUGAGCCAAACAAAUACAGGAUUCUGUUAUGCAAAGGAGAACUAACCCAACAGUGGAGUCUUUGUCUUCCAGGAGGACCAGAAUGGAGUGUACUGCCUUGAAACCUCCUCGUUUCAAUGGAAAAAGGUUUCUGUAUGUUCUGAUGGGUACCAGAGUGAAGCCAACAACAAUGUUGCUUAAGAUUGGACUGAAGGCC
Hirundo rustica (Barn swallow) is the source of this 234-nucleotide long non-coding RNA. RefSeq lists it as uncharacterized. Lineage: Eukaryota; Metazoa; Chordata; Aves; Passeriformes; Hirundinidae. The transcript has 3 exons. The record is from RefSeq and is a predicted model, not a curated record.